AUCGCUUCUCGGCCUUUUGGCUAAGAUCAAGUGUAGUAUCUGUUCUUAUCAGUUUAAAUAUGCUGCCCAGGGUACACCAUUCACACUCAUCUCAUGAGACCCGAGGAAGUUACACAAAAAUGUAGAGAGGGCAGACUAAGUGUUCUACAAAUGAUAUUAAUUACAGUUACAUGAGAUCUUUCCAAAU
This is a small nuclear RNA of Leopardus geoffroyi (Geoffroy's cat), 187 nucleotides long. RefSeq annotates it as U2 spliceosomal RNA. The record is from RefSeq and is a predicted model, not a curated record. The transcript has a single exon. NCBI's taxonomy places the organism in Eukaryota, Metazoa, Chordata, Mammalia, Carnivora, Felidae.